UACGUAGGUGGCAAGCGUUAUCCGGAUUUAUUGGGCGUAAAGGGAACGCAGGCGGUCUUUUAAGUCUGAUGUGAAAGCCUUCGGCUUAACCGGAGUAGUGCAUUGGAAACUGGGAGACUGGAGUGCAGGAGAGGUGAGCAGAAUUCCUAGUGUAGCGGUGAAAUGCGUAGAUAUUAGGAGGAACACCAGUGGCGAAGGCGGCUCACUGGACUGUAACUGACGUUGAGGCUCGAAAGCGUGGGGAGCAAACAGG
Molecule: ribosomal RNA, 253 nt
Filed under: uncultured Lactobacillus sp.
Lineage: Bacteria; Bacillati; Bacillota; Bacilli; Lactobacillales; Lactobacillaceae
Description: partial 16S ribosomal RNA
Rfam family: Bacterial small subunit ribosomal RNA
Source: RNAcentral